This 485-nucleotide ribosomal RNA is filed under the name uncultured bacterium. RNAcentral's name for it is "partial 16S ribosomal RNA". It matches the Rfam family "Bacterial small subunit ribosomal RNA", at positions 30 to 507 of the family's 1533-position model. The record is from RNAcentral.
AUUGAACGCUGGCGGCAUGCCUUACACAUGCAAGUCGAACGGCAGCACGGGUGCUUGCACCUGGUGGCGAGUGGCGAACGGGUGAGUAAUACAUCGGAACAUGUCCUGUAGUGGGGGAUAGCCCGGCGAAAGCCGGAUUAAUACCGCAUACGAUCUACGGAUGACAGCGGGGGCCUUCGGGCCUCGCGCUAUAGGGUUGGCCGAUGGCUGCUUAGCUAGUUGGUGGGGUAAAGGCCUACCAAGGCGACGAUCAGUAGCUGGUCUGAGAGGACGACCAGCCACACUGGAACUGAGACACGGCCCAGACUCCUACGGGAGGCAGCAGUGGGGAAUUUUGGACAAUGGGCGAAAGCCUGAUCCAGCAAUGCCGCGUGUGUGAAGAAGGCCUUCGGGUUGUAAAGCACUUUUGUCCGGAAAGAAAUCCUUGGCCCUAAUACGGUCGGGGGAUGACGGUACCGGAAGAAUAAGCACCGGCUAACUACGUG